UAAGCCUUUAAUUCAGUCCCGUGAGGCUGAGAAGGAACGGUCAAUAUUGUAAUGUAUGUUUAUUUGCAAUUUUGUUACUAUGAACUGUUACCCUCUCGCCAAUAUCGGUGAGAGGUUUUUUAUU
Non-coding RNA from Bacillus sp. X1(2014), 124 nucleotides. Lineage: Bacteria; Bacillati; Bacillota; Bacilli; Caryophanales; Bacillaceae. The record is from Rfam.